UGGCAGGGGAGAUACCAUGAUCACGAAGGUGGUUUUCCCAGGGCGAGGCUUAUCCAUUGCACUCCGGAUGUGCUGACCCUUGCGAUUUCCCCAAAUGUGGGAAACUCGACUGCAUAAUUUGUGGUAGUGGGGGACUGCGUUCGCGCUUUCCCCUGG
Molecule: small nuclear RNA, 156 nt
Filed under: Cervus elaphus hippelaphus
Lineage: Eukaryota; Metazoa; Chordata; Mammalia; Artiodactyla; Cervidae
Rfam family: U1 spliceosomal RNA
About the family: U1 is a small nuclear RNA (snRNA) component of the spliceosome (involved in pre-mRNA splicing). Its 5' end forms complementary base pairs with the 5' splice junction, thus defining the 5' donor site of an intron.
Source: RNAcentral